This 482-nucleotide ribosomal RNA is filed under the name uncultured bacterium. RNAcentral's name for it is "bacterial SSU rRNA". It matches the Rfam family "Bacterial small subunit ribosomal RNA", at positions 29 to 506 of the family's 1533-position model. The record is from RNAcentral.
UUGAACGCUGGCGGCAUGCCUUACACAUGCAAGUCGAACGGCAGCGCGGGGCAACCUGGCGGCGAGUGGCGAACGGGUGAGUAACACAUCGGAACGUACCCAGGAGUGGGGGACAACCUCGAGAAAUCGAGGCUAAUACCGCAUACGUCCUGAGGGAGAAUGCGGGGGAUCUGCAAGGACCUCGCGCUCAUGGAGCGGCCGAUGUCGGAUUAGCUAGUUGGCGGGGUAAAAGCCCACCAAGGCUACGAUCCGUAGCUGGUUUGAGAGAACGACCAGCCACACGGGGACUGAGACACGGCCCAGACUCCUACGGGAGGCAGCAGUGGGGAAUUUUGGACAAUGGGGGCAACCCUGAUCCAGCCAUGCCGCGUGAGUGAAGAAGGCCUUCGGGUUGUAAAGCUCCUUCGGCCGGAACGAAAUCGCGUACGUGAAUAACGUGCGUGGAUGACGGUACUGGAAGAAGAAGCACCGGCUAACUACGU